CAAGAAUUUACUAAUUUGAUGUCAUCUUCUUUAACAUGCUCUGUGCCCGACCUGCCAUAUUCAACCAUAUCAAUUUUGACGAGUGCCGUUAGCAUUGGCUAAAAAAGGUGGAGCUUGGAAAUAUUAUGGAUCAGCGAUUGAUAAGAAUUUGAUAGAAAACCCUUGCUAAAAUCCGA
Long non-coding RNA from Dendrobium catenatum, 176 nucleotides. RefSeq lists it as uncharacterized. NCBI's taxonomy places the organism in Eukaryota, Viridiplantae, Streptophyta, Magnoliopsida, Asparagales, Orchidaceae. The record is from RefSeq and is a predicted model, not a curated record. The transcript has 2 exons.